This 636-nucleotide ribosomal RNA is filed under the name Suberites diversicolor. Its description in RNAcentral is "partial large subunit ribosomal RNA". It matches the Rfam family "Eukaryotic large subunit ribosomal RNA", at positions 658 to 1276 of the family's 3401-position model. Lineage: Eukaryota; Metazoa; Porifera; Demospongiae; Suberitida; Suberitidae. The record is from RNAcentral.
AACACGAACCAAGGAGUGCAACAUGCGUGCGAGUCUUUGGGUGUCAAACCCUGUGGCACAAUGAAAGUGAAGGCAGGCAUUGGUCUGCUUAGGCGAGAGUCUCUUUUGGGACACAUCGUCGACCGAUCCCAGGUCACGCUGUGGCGGGAUUUGAGUGAGAGCGUGCCUGUUGCGACCCGAAAGAUGGUGAACUAUGCCUGAAUAGGGUGAAGCCAGAGGAAACUCUGGUGGAAGCUCGUAGCGAUUCUGACGUGCAAAUCGAUCGUCAAAUUUGGGUAUAGGGGCGAAAGACUAAUCGAACCAUCUAGUAGCUGGUUCCCUCCGAAGUUUCCCUCAGGAUAGCUGGAGCCCGGUGCAGUUUUAUCAGGUAAAGCGAAUGAUUAGAGGUCUUGGGGUUGAAACAACCUCAACCUAUUCUCAAACUUUAAAUGGGUAAGAAGCUUGGCUUGCUUAAUUGAAGUCAGGCAUUGAAUGCCGGGGCUCUUAGUGGGCCAUUUUUGGUAAGCAGAACUGGCGAUGUGGGAUGAACCAAAUGCUGGGUUAAGGUGCCCGAAUCAACGCUCAUCAGAUACCAUAAAAGGUGUUGGUUGAUCUAGACAGCAGGACGGUGGCCAUGGAAGUCGGAAUCCGCUAGGG